RNAcentral lists this ribosomal RNA (1545 nucleotides) under Triticum aestivum (bread wheat). Its description in RNAcentral is "partial small subunit ribosomal RNA". Lineage: Eukaryota; Viridiplantae; Streptophyta; Magnoliopsida; Poales; Poaceae. The record is from RNAcentral.
AUGGAGCAGCAGCACCGGCCGGACUCCGAGGCUCCGCUGCUGGCCGCCUCGAAGCCCGAUGGCGCCGCGUCUUCGUCGCCGCCCCGCAACAGGUUCCCCUUCUUCUGUGCCGUGCUCGCCUCCAUGACCUCCGUCCUCAUGGGCUACAACGUGGCGGUGAUGAGCGGGGCGCAGAUCUUCAUGGCGGAAGACCUCGGGGUGAGCGACACGCAGAUCGAGCUGCUCUCCGGUGCCAUCAACAUCUACUCGCUCGUCGGCGCGCUGCUCGCCGGCUGGACCUCCGACCGCCUCGGUCGCCGCCUCACCAUUGUGCUCACCAACGGCUUCUUCCUCGUUGGCCCGCUUAUCAUGACGCUCGCCGGCGGGUACACGGCGCUCAUGGCGGGGCGCUUCAUCUCUGGAAUCGGCGUCGGCUACGCGCUCGUAAUCGCGCCGAUCUACGCUGCCGAGAUCGCGCCGGCCUCCUCCCGCGGCCUUCUCAGCUCCCUUCCCGAGGUCAGCGCUGCAGAGUUUCCCCUUCGUCGUAUGAUGCUUCAGAGUUGUCUCAUAAUUGUGUUCCUUUCUUUUGUAAAGAUUUUUAUCAACACCGGGGUGAUGCUGAGCUACGUCUCCAACUUCGCCUUCUCGGCGUUGCCAGCGCACCUGGCGUGGCGGCUGAUGUUCGCGGCCGGGGUUGUGCCCACCGUGUUUCUGGCGGCUGGCGUGCUCACCAUGCCGGAGUCGCCGCGGUGGCUGGCGAUGAAGGGCCGGCUGGACGAGGCGAAAGCCGUGCUCGACAGGACGUCGGACACGCUCGCGGAGGCCGAGCAGCGUCUGCGGGAGAUCGAGGAGGUUGUCGACGCCGGCAGCAACGGCGCCGGCGGGAGCAACGGCGGUGGCGGCACGUGGAAUGAGGUGGCAACCAAGGCCGGCGUCAGGCGCGUGCUGGCCACAGUUCUGGCGCUACAAUUCUUCCAGCAGGCGUCGGGCAUCGACUCCGUGGUGCUCUACGGCCCGCGCGUGCUCGCCAUGGCCGGCGUCACAUCCAACACCCUCCUCCUGGGCCUCAACGUCCUCUUCGGCGUGGCCAAGGCGGGCUCGAUCCUGAUAGCCAUGGCGCUCGCCGACCGCGUCGGUCGGCGCCCUCUGCUCUUGGUGAGCACCGGCGGCAUGACGGCGUCGCUGCUUGUGCUGGGCUCCGUGUUCGCUGCUUUCGCCGGCGCCAAGGACGACGCGGCGGUGGCCGCCGUGGCCGUGGCGGCUGUGGUGGCGUUCGUCUGCACCUUUUCCGUCGGGUUCGGGCCUAUGGCAUGGGUGUACAGCUCGGAGAUCCUACCUCUGCGGCUGCGCGGACAGGGCGCCGGGCUCGGCACCGCCAUGAACCGCGUCAUGAGCGGCAUCGUCACCAUGACCUUCAUCUCGCUCUACGGGGCCAUCACCAUGGCCGGCGCAUUCUACCUUUAUGCCGCCGUCGCGGCUGCCUCGUUCGUGUUCAUCUACACCUGCCUGCCGGAGACCAGGGGCCGAAACCUCGAGGACAUGGAGCAGCUUUUCCGCACAAAGUGA